AUCGCGCUACGAACCCCGGAAGUGAUUCAAAUGAUAAUGUUAUUAUUUAGAUGUUGUUAUUUGUACAAAUUUAAAGGGUUUCCAAAAACACUGUGAAUGUAAACAGAGACAACCGUCCCGCUCGCUCCGUACUCCCGAACUGACUCAAACGUUUCUGGAAAAAUGAGCGCCCGUCGCUUCCGUUAUGAGCGCCCAUACGGUGCGCCUACAUUUGAUAUAACGAACUUGAGAGCGCAGAAGACGUUAUAUGUUAACAGCCCCUUACUUAUAGCCUUGUUUGCUGCUCUUUAAUUUAAUUCUUUUUCAUUUAUGUGAAAUUAUGUACCACAAAUUAACAGUUUUGCUUUAUGGAUUAUACUUUUUUAUCUGUUGAACACCAAACAUAAACAAAAAGAAGUUUUAAACUCAUUAUUUUCGUUAAUUUAAAAAAAGUAAACAAUUUGUUUGCAUUUGCGCAAGCAUAUUCACGCAGCGCUGUCUCGUGAGUGCAGUGGAAGGUUGUGAAUUCCAACGGUCGAGAAGAGAUUGAUCCCCGUCUGCUGAUUUAAAUUGAUGGUCUGACAGAAAUAUUGUUGUGCGGAUUUACACUAAAACACGAAAGAGCCUGAACCGCGAAAGUGUCACAAGUUGCCUUACAUCCAUAAGUUUUGUUGUGCUUGUUGCAAACUGUUAAAUUAAGUGUUUUCCGAUCCUAAGCUUAGAAAAAAAGAUGCAAGACUUCAAACUUUCCAGUACUCCUGUGAACUGAUAAUCCGGUUUCCACCCAGUCCCAGGAGAUUAUAUUAAACCUGGAAAAUAUUGGAGAAGAUCAAUUAAGUUUUCAGGAGCACAUUACUGUGAUAAAUGCUGAGCUAUGUAAAAGACAACCUGCUACACCAACAUAUCAAAAAUCGAAUGAGGUGCGCUCUUGUUAAAAGAGUUGAUUUAAUGACAAAAUCAACAUGAGAGGUCAUGGACAUGUUCCCAUUUCUUCGGGUUCCACAAAAUGUGA
Long non-coding RNA from Carassius auratus (goldfish), 991 nucleotides. RefSeq lists it as uncharacterized. The record is from RefSeq and is a predicted model, not a curated record. NCBI's taxonomy places the organism in Eukaryota, Metazoa, Chordata, Actinopteri, Cypriniformes, Cyprinidae. The transcript has 3 exons.